This 83-nucleotide transfer RNA is filed under the name Siphoviridae sp. ctHip2. RNAcentral describes it as "tRNA-Leu". It matches the Rfam family "tRNA". From Rfam's summary of the family: Transfer RNA (tRNA) molecules are approximately 80 nucleotides in length. Lineage: Duplodnaviria; Heunggongvirae; Uroviricota; Caudoviricetes. The record is from RNAcentral.
GCGCCCGUGGUGGAAUGGCAGACACGCUAGGCUUAGACCCUAGUGUCCGAAAGGACGUGAGAGUUCGAGUCUCUCCGAGUGCA